This 262-nucleotide unclassified non-coding RNA is filed under the name Hevea brasiliensis (rubber tree). The record is from RNAcentral. Lineage: Eukaryota; Viridiplantae; Streptophyta; Magnoliopsida; Malpighiales; Euphorbiaceae.
AAGAAAGGGAAGGGGAAAUAUUUGGAUGCAGAAGAACAACUGGUUCCUAUUGUUCGUUUGGACAAUGACAUGUUUGUCUUGGUGGAUGACGUCUUGCUAUUGCUUGAGAGGGCUGCCUUGGAACCGCUGCCUCCAAAGGAUGAGAAAGGUAUCCAUAACCGUACAAAGGAUGGUGCUUCUGGAGAGGACUUUAACAAAUAUUCCAUUGAGCGUGAUGAGAGGCGCCUAACUGAACUAGGUCGUCGAACCAUUGAAAUAUUUG